AUCCAGCAGACGAGUCUCAAAUAGGACGAAACGCGCGUUCUUGAU
Molecule: non-coding RNA, 45 nt
Filed under: Schistosoma mansoni
Lineage: Eukaryota; Metazoa; Platyhelminthes; Trematoda; Strigeidida; Schistosomatidae
Source: RNAcentral